GGCAAUAAAACCACAGGUAGUCAAAGAAAUAUGCAAGCAUCCUUAGUUAGUGUAGAUUCAAGUUUGUUCAAAUCAUACCCUAGCUCUCCCUUUUAAGGAUUAUUUGGGACCACUAUUGAGUUUCAACUUUUCAAUAAUAAACUAAUUUAUGCUUUUUUCCUAGCCACAUUGCUCAGGUGAGCGAUGUGGCCCAUGGGCCUCUUGUUGUUUAUAUAGGCAAAUUAUGACAUAGAGCUGCUGUCUCUACAAGAGACCAUACAACAGAAGGUCGUGACCCUGCUGAGUGACCCAGACAACAGUGUUAAACAGACCCUACUGGAGAACGGAAUCACAAAGCUGUGUGUCUUCUUUGGCAGGCAGAAAGCCAAUGAUGUGUUGCUGUCUCACAUGAUUACUUUCCUCCAUGACAAG
Long non-coding RNA from Saccostrea cuccullata (small rock oyster), 411 nucleotides. RefSeq lists it as uncharacterized. The transcript has 3 exons. Lineage: Eukaryota; Metazoa; Mollusca; Bivalvia; Ostreida; Ostreidae. The record is from RefSeq and is a predicted model, not a curated record.